GCCCGCGCAGCUCGAAUGGUCGAGCGCCCGCCUCGUAUUCGGGAGGAUCCGGUUCGAUUCCGGACGUGGGCUCCC
Molecule: transfer RNA, 75 nt
Filed under: Myxococcales bacterium 68-20
Lineage: Bacteria; Pseudomonadati; Myxococcota; Myxococcia; Myxococcales
Description: tRNA-Thr
Rfam family: tRNA
About the family: Transfer RNA (tRNA) molecules are approximately 80 nucleotides in length. Their secondary structure includes four short double-helical elements and three loops (D, anti-codon, and T loops).
Source: RNAcentral